CCUCAAGUUUUUCUACGAUUUCCACAAAUUUAUGAGUGGUAAUCAUAAAAUUAAUUGCGAAACAAUAAAAGUACAAACGCGGAAAAUGUGGGGCAUCAUUUGUUUCGGCCCGAUAUUUAUUUAACCGGUAUAUUUUUAAACAAAAGUUUUGAAUAAGUAUGGCGUCGCUUUUCAUGAUAGUUUGAAUUUAAAGUUGUCCGUUGUGAAUGUUUUGGUUUUGUGGAGUUAACAAAUUAAUAAUAAGUAAGUAAUUCGGGGAAAUCUCGGCACUUUGCUCGCGUCGAUGCUCAUUUGUUGUUUGAAAACUAUCUGGAGAAGAUGACUUGCAUUUUCAAUGUGAUAGUGCCCGGUUUUAACUAUAAACUGUGCUUGAGAUCAAGACACCUAAGAUUUCAUGGAUAUGCCGAUUUGGUUGCUGAGAAUAGAGGCGACUGCAGUGUUUGGUCCCUACUUUGGUUCGUGCCAGUUCUUAGAAGGACCUAAAUUAUAAGCUUAAACGAUUUGAGAGCGGCAGCGUUAUAAAGGUAGGAUUUUAUUUUUUGUGCAUGGGUUUUUGGGACGGUAUCUUUUGAUGUAGUCGUCAAAUCGAAAUGUCUAUUGUGGAUUUUCCAAAGGGUAGAAAUCAUUUUUCGAAUAUGUUUCCUUUUAUUUUGUUAUUAUGGCAAUUUAAAGCGCGCAUGACGCAAAAAUCUCCCCAAUUGUAUUUUAACAUGGCAAAUGAAUGUCAACAAAAUAAUAAUAGUAAAGCAGUAUUAUGCAGUGUGUCGCAAAUUCGAGGGUGACCAUUGAGAUAUAGGAAACAGUAAGACAUACGACCUAGUUUGAAUGAAGGCAAAGCUAUACAUUUUGGGGCCAAAUCUACAGUUGCUCCGACUACUUUUGGAAAAAAAUCGGAAAAACCCGAAACUGGGUAAUUUUUUAUUGACUUCCCCUAGAAGCAGGCAUUAUUUUUUCAUGCACACUUGGGUCUAAGGUAGGACAAUAUUGAUAUUCACCAGUUAGUUGGUGACAAUUAGUGAAACAUCUAAAGCGGAUUUAAAAAAGCGGCAAAGCAUCUCAGUGUCAAGUGUGCAAUCGGUCCAAGUGUUUGCCAGUUAUCACGUUCACAG
Long non-coding RNA from Photinus pyralis (common eastern firefly), 1109 nucleotides. RefSeq lists it as uncharacterized. The transcript has 3 exons. Lineage: Eukaryota; Metazoa; Arthropoda; Insecta; Coleoptera; Lampyridae. The record is from RefSeq and is a predicted model, not a curated record.